RNAcentral lists this ribosomal RNA (485 nucleotides) under uncultured bacterium. Its description in RNAcentral is "partial 16S ribosomal RNA". It matches the Rfam family "Bacterial small subunit ribosomal RNA", at positions 28 to 507 of the family's 1533-position model. The record is from RNAcentral.
GAUGAACGCUAGCGACAGGCUUAACACAUGCAAGUCGAGGGGCAGCACAGGUAGCAAUACCGGGUGGCGACCGGCGCACGGGUGAGUAACGCGUAUGCAACUUACCUAUCAGAGGGGGAUAACCCGGCGAAAGUCGGACUAAUACCGCAUGAAGCAGGGGUCCCGCAUGGGGAUAUUUGCUAAAGAUUCAUCGCUGAUAGAUAGGCAUGCGUUCCAUUAGGCAGUUGGCGGGGUAACGGCCCACCAAACCGACGAUGGAUAGGGGUUCUGAGAGGAAGGUCCCCCACAUUGGUACUGAGACACGGACCAAACUCCUACGGGAGGCAGCAGUGAGGAAUAUUGGGCAAUGGCCGAGAGGCUGAACCAGCCAAGUCGCGUGAGGGAUGAAGGUUCUAUGGAUCGUAAACCUCUUUUAUAAGGGAAUAAAGUGCGGGACGUGUCCCGUUUUGUAUGUACCUUAUGAAUAAGGAUCGGCUAACUCCGUG